This 468-nucleotide ribosomal RNA is filed under the name uncultured bacterium. RNAcentral describes it as "partial 16S ribosomal RNA". It matches the Rfam family "Bacterial small subunit ribosomal RNA", at positions 28 to 507 of the family's 1533-position model. The record is from RNAcentral.
GAUGAACGCUGGCGGCGUGCUUAACACAUGCAAGUCGAACGGUGAAGGCGGAGCUUGCUCUGCUGGAUCAGUGGCGAACGGGUGAGUAACACGUGAGCAAUCUGCCCCUGACUCUGGGAUAAGUUCUGGAAACGGCGUCUAAUACUGGAUACGAGCUGCGAAGGCAUCUUCAGCAGCUGGAAAGAACUUCGGUCAGGGAUGAGCUCGCGGCCUAUCAGCUUGUUGGUGAGGUAACGGCUCACCAAGGCGUCGACGGGUAGCCGGCCUGAGAGGGUGACCGGGCACACUGGGACUGAGACACGGCCCAGACUCCUACGGGAGGGAGCAGUGGGGAAUAUUGCACAAUGGGCGAAAGCCUGAUGCAGCAACGCCGCGUGAGGGACGACGGCCUUCGGGUUGUAAACCUCUUUUAGCAGGGAAGAAGCGAAAGUGACGGUACCUGCAGAAAGAGCGACGGCUAACUACGUG